UACAAUGGAGAGUUUGAUCCUGGCUCAGGAUGAACGCUAGCGGGAGGCCUAACACAUGCAAGCCGAGCGGUAUGAUUCUUUCGGGAAUCAGAGAGCGGCGUACGGGUGCGGAACACGUGUGCAACCUGCCUUUAUCUGGGGGAUAGCCUUUCGAAAGGAAGAUUAAUACCCCAUAAUAUAUUGAGUGGCAUCACUUAAUAUUGAAAACUCCGGUGGAUAGAGAUGGGCACGCGCAAGAUUAGAUAGUUGGUGGGGUAACGGCCUACCAAGUCGAUGAUCUUUAGGGGGCCUGAGAGGGUGAUCCCCCACACUGGUACUGAGACACGGACCAGACUCCUACGGGAGGCAGCAGUGAGGAAUAUUGGACAAUGGGUGCAAGCCUGAUCCAGCCAUCCCGCGUGAAGGACGACGGCCCUAUGGGUUGUAAACUUCUUUUGUACAGGGAUAAACCUAGAUACGUGUAUCUAGCUGAAGGUACUGUACGAAUAAGCACCGGCUAACUCCGUGCCAGCAGCCGCGGUAAUACGGAGGGUGCAAGCGUUAUCCGGAUUUAUUGGGUUUAAAGGGUCCGUAGGCGGAUCAGUAAGUCAGUGGUGAAAUCUCAUAGCUUAACUAUGAAACUGCCAUUGAUACUGCUGGUCUUGAGUAAGGUAGAAGUAGCUGGAAUAAGUAGUGUAGCGGUGAAAUGCAUAGAUAUUACUUAGAACACCAAUUGCGAAGGCAGGUUACUAUGUCUUAACUGACGCUGAUGGACGAAAGCGUGGGGAGCGAACAGGAUUAGAUACCCUGGUAGUCCACGCUGUAAACGAUGCUAACUCGUUUUUGGGUUUUCGGAUUCAGAGACUAAGCGAAAGUGAUAAGUUAGCCACCUGGGGAGUACGAACGCAAGUUUGAAACUCAAAGGAAUUGACGGGGGCCCGCACAAGCGGUGGAUUAUGUGGUUUAAUUCGAUGAUACGCGAGGAACCUUACCAAGGCUUAAAUGGGAAUUGAUCGGUUUAGAAAUAGACCUUCCUUCGGGCAAUUUUCAAGGUGCUGCAUGGUUGUCGUCAGCUCGUGCCGUGAGGUGUUAGGUUAAGUCCUGCAACGAGCGCAACCCCUGUCACUAGUUGCCAUCAUUAAGUUGGGGACUCUAGUGAGACUGCCUACGCAAGUAGAGAGGAAGGUGGGGAUGACGUCAAAUCAUCACGGCCCUUACGCCUUGGGCCACACACGUAAUACAAUGGCCGGUACAGAGGGCAGCUACACAGCGAUGUGAUGCAAAUCUCGAAAGCCGGUCUCAGUUCGGAUUGGAGUCUGCAACUCGACUCUAUGAAGCUGGAAUCGCUAGUAAUCGCGCAUCAGCCAUGGCGCGGUGAAUACGUUCCCGGGCCUUGUACACACCGCCCGUCAAGCCAUGGAAGUCUGGGGUACCUGAAGUCGGUGACCGUAAAAGGAGCUGCCUAGGGUAAAACAGGUAACUAGGGCUAAGUCGUAACAAGGUAGCCGUACCGGAAGGUGCGGCUGGAACAUCUCAUUUUAGA
This 1522-nucleotide ribosomal RNA is filed under the name Chryseobacterium daecheongense. Its description in RNAcentral is "bacterial SSU rRNA". It matches the Rfam family "Bacterial small subunit ribosomal RNA". Lineage: Bacteria; Pseudomonadati; Bacteroidota; Flavobacteriia; Flavobacteriales; Weeksellaceae. The record is from RNAcentral.